Molecule: long non-coding RNA, 214 nt
Filed under: Trifolium pratense (red clover)
Lineage: Eukaryota; Viridiplantae; Streptophyta; Magnoliopsida; Fabales; Fabaceae
Description: long non-coding RNA (TPRA_LNC014374)
Source: RNAcentral
UUUAAUAAGUAAACAAAACGAUGGGGUUCCAAAAUUAUUUAAAAAAUAUAUAAAAUAUAAAAUAAGCACAUAAACAAAUAUAGAAUAAUUAGUCCAUAAAAUUCCCUAUACUACUCUUAUUGAAAAUGCCCUUAGAACUUUUGUAUUUUAUUUUUUAUUGUUACAUAUUACACCUAAUUAGACCCAUGCACCGCAUGGGUCAAAGUUCUAGUUA